UGGGGAAUUUUGGACAAUGGGCGAAAGCCUGAUCCAGCAAUGCCGCGUGUGUGAAGAAGGCCUUCGGGUUGUAAAGCACUUUUGUCCGGAAAGAAAUCCUUGGCUCUAAUACAGUCGGGGGAUGACGGUACCGGAAGAAUAAGCACCGGCUAACUACGUGCCAGCAGCCGCGGUAAUACGUAGGGUGCAAGCGUUAAUCGGAAUUACUGGGCGUAAAGCGUGCGCAGGCGUUUGCUAAGACCGAUGUGAAAUCCCCGGGCUCAACCUGGGAACUGCAUUGGUGACUGGCAGGCUAGAGUAUGGCAGAGGGGGGUAGAAUUCCACGUGUAGCAGUGAAAUGCGUAGAGAUGUGGAGGAAUACCGAUGGCGAAGGCAGCCCCCUGGGCCAAUACUGACGCUCAUGCACGAAAAGCGUGGGGAGCAAAACAGGAUUAGAUACCCUGGUAGUCCACGCCCUAAACGAUGUCAACUAGUUGUUGGGGAUUCAUUUCCUUAGUAACGUAGCUAACGCGUGAAGUUGACCGCCUGGGGAGUACGGUCGCAAGAUUAAAACUCAAAGGAAUUGACGGGGUCAUAGCUGUUUCCU
Molecule: ribosomal RNA, 586 nt
Filed under: uncultured bacterium
Lineage: Bacteria
Description: partial 16S ribosomal RNA
Rfam family: Bacterial small subunit ribosomal RNA
Source: RNAcentral